GGAAGUAAAAAUCGUAACAAGGUUUCCGUAGGUGAACCUGCGGAAGGAUCAUUAUUGCAUAACCGAGGUGCGAGGGCUGUCGCUGACCCGAAAGGUCGUGCACGCCCGAGUGCCCUCACACACAUCCAUCUCACCCCUAUGUGCACCACCGCGUGGGUCCCCCUUUGGCUUGUUCGGAGGGGGGCUUACGUUUUCACACAAACUUUGUAUGCAGUGUAGAAUGUAUUUUUUGUUUUUGCGAUCACGCAAUCAAUACAACUUUCAACAACGGAUCUCUUGGCUCUC
RNAcentral lists this unclassified non-coding RNA (285 nucleotides) under plant metagenome. Its description in RNAcentral is "partial contains small subunit ribosomal RNA, internal transcribed spacer 1, and 5.8S ribosomal RNA". The stretch from base 1 to 54 matches the Rfam family "Eukaryotic small subunit ribosomal RNA", at positions 1778 to 1831 of the family's 1831-position model. The record is from RNAcentral.